AUGCACGCUAGCGACAGGCUUAACACAUGCAAGUCGAGGGGCAGCACAGGUAGCAAUACCGGGUGGCGACCGGCGCACGGGUGAGUAACGCGUAUGCAACUUACCUAUCAGAGGGGGAUAACCCGGCGAAAGUCGGACUAAUACCGCAUGAAGCAGGGGUCCCGCAUGGGGAUAUUUGCUAAAGAUUCAUCGCUGAUAGAUAGGCAUGCGUUCCAUUAGGCAGUUGGCGGGGUAACGGCCCACCAAACCGACGAUGGAUAGGGGUUCUGAGAGGAAGGUCCCCCACAUUGGUACUGAGACACGGACCAAACUCCUACGGGAGGCAGCAGUGAGGAAUAUUGGUCAAUGGCCGAGAGGCUGAACCAGCCAAGUCGCGUGAGGGAUGAAGGUUCUAUGGAUCGUAAACCUCUUUUAUAAGGGAAUAAAGUGCGGGACGUGUCCCGUUUUGUAUGUACCUUAUGAAUAAGGAUCGGCUAACUCCGUG
Molecule: ribosomal RNA, 484 nt
Filed under: uncultured bacterium
Lineage: Bacteria
Description: partial 16S ribosomal RNA
Rfam family: Bacterial small subunit ribosomal RNA
Source: RNAcentral